AUUGAACGCUAGCGGGAUGCUUUACACAUGCAAGUCGAACUAGUGGCGGACGGGUGAGUAAUAUAUCGGAACGUGCCCAGUAGCCGGGGAUAACUACUCGAAAGAGUGGCUAAUACCGCAUACUUUUGGAGCGGCCGAUAUCGGAUUAGCUAGUUUGUGGGGUAAAGGCUCACCAAUGCACCGAUCCGUAGCUGGUUUGAGAGGACGACGAGGCACAAGGGGACGGAGACACGGACACGGAUCCUACAGGAGGAAGCAGUGGGGAAUAUUGGACAGUGGGGGAAAAACUGAUCUAGCGAUGCCGCGUGUAUGAGAAGGCCUUCAGGUUGUAAAGUCCUUAUGGCAGGGGAGCGGUAUCUGAAGAAUAAGCACCGGCUAACUACAUGCCAGCAGCCGAGGUAAUAC
This 405-nucleotide ribosomal RNA is filed under the name uncultured bacterium. RNAcentral describes it as "partial 16S ribosomal RNA". It matches the Rfam family "Bacterial small subunit ribosomal RNA", at positions 30 to 526 of the family's 1533-position model. The record is from RNAcentral.